Zonotrichia albicollis (white-throated sparrow) is the source of this 3141-nucleotide long non-coding RNA. RefSeq lists it as uncharacterized. The record is from RefSeq and is a predicted model, not a curated record. Lineage: Eukaryota; Metazoa; Chordata; Aves; Passeriformes; Passerellidae.
GACACAAGCAAACCAGAUACCUUGUCUCUCACCUCAGAAGAGCUUGGGCUCUGAAAGGCUGUGUCUCUCUCCAUGGCACAGGGUCAGACGAGGAGCAAGGCACUGCUGCUUCCCCUGCCAGCCAGAGUGCAGACAAAGCAGCCCUUCCUGAACAACUGCCUCAGAAAUCUACUUUCCAUACUGGCCUGAAGGUAGAAGAAGAUGGAUUCCAAAUAAAAGGGCUGCUGUGUAAUCACCUAGGAGGGAACAGUUCUUCACAAACUGCUCCAACAAUUUUCCAGGGGAUGAGUCCUUCAAGAAACAGCCUGCUCCAGUGUGGGCUCCCCACAGGGCCACAAGUCCUGCCAGCAAACCUGCUCCAGCGUGGGCUCCUCUCUCCAUGGGUCUGCAGAUCCCUGCUAGGGGCCUGCUCCAGCAUGGGCAUCCCACGGGGUCAGCGCCGUCUCAGGUACCCACCUGCUCCAGCACCCACAGGCUGCAGGCAGAUCUUUGAGCUUCCACUGACCUCCAUGGGCUGCAGGGGCACAGCUGCUUCACCGUGGUCUGCACCACAGGAUGCAGGGGAAUCCCAGCUCCAGCGCUUGGAACACCUCCUCCUCUUCCUCCUCUCCUUCCACACUGACCUUGUGAUCUGCAGGGCUGAGUCGCUCCCACAUCCUCACUCUGCGCCGCUCUCCUCUGAGAUCAAUUACAAACCUUUGUUUUCCUUCUGAAAUAUGUUAUCACAGAGGCAUUACCAGCAUCUCCGAUGGGCUCAGUGGUGGGUCCCUCCUGCAGCCAGCUGGCAGUGGACAUGAGGGAAGCUUCUGGCAGCAUCUCACAGAAGACACCCCUGUAUCCCCUCCUGCUACCAAAACCUGGCCAUACAAACCCAGUACACACCUGGAUCCGAACAUGAGACCCUCUGAUGCUUGAGGUAGAGAGGUUUGUGGUGAAUGGUGUCCUGGGUGGUGUAAACUGCUAAUUUUGUACUGUGGGUUUUGCCUUCUAUUUCAAACAUCCCAUGCCUUAAGUGGCUCGGCCUCUGCUUUCAGAUCAAGGAAAUUCCUCAUUGUUUAACUUUACAAUAGAUAGAAAAUGUUCUAGCCAUGAAAAACCUACCUUUUAUAAAAGUUGCAGUGUUUUAUUUUUAAAGUCUCCAUUGCUAUGGAAUAUGCCACAGAAUUGACCUCCUGUCUCUGAACUACUCUUUGUUUCAUUUCCAUUAAAAAAAAAUGUUUUCUGCCAUUAAAAAAAAAGCAAAAAACCAAUAACAACAAUAAAAAAAAAGGUAGAAACAAGUAUGGGAAUAUCAGUUGAAAAUAAUUCUCUGCUGUAGUAUUUUCCAGAAUACAGCUUCAGAAACAGUAGCUUUGAAUGACAUGGAUCUCAUCACCUACCCUAAUAAAUGGCUAAUUCUGAAAUGUGCUGAUGUCAUCUUCAAAAGCUACUUCACUUCCAAUUUUUUUUGGUGUAAAUGCCAUUAAAUCCUUUCUCUUCUGCUUGGGGCUAGCUGCAGCUGCCCAUUUCCAUCUGUGGAAAUUCCUUACUUCCUACCGUCCUGUCACACAGUUCAAGAAAUGAAAUAAAUCUAGUGCCAUACUGAAAAUGUAAGGGCUAUGUGUAUCUAUUAUCUAGCCAGGCUAUUGUAGUGCACCUUAUAUGUCCCAAGGGUUUUGUGUGGUGUUUUCAUACAUGUGAUUAACAAUCAGAACGUCCCACAUACUAAAUUUAUUUAAAUGCAAUUGUCAUUCCCUUGAAAAAACCUUUUUUCCUCAAAACAUUUGUAGUUGUCAUUGUUCUAUACAUGCAGCAGCAGAGCAGUCCUGUCUUCCUGAUGCAAGUAAAUUCCAGACCUCUUUCUAGAGCUCUACUUUGGACACAGAAUAUCUUUCAGGAGCAGAAAAGCCUUUAUAGCCCUAUGGCUGGUCAUUGCUUGGGCUAGGCAAACACAGAAUAUAUCUGCAAGAGACAGGAUCCCCCACACUGCAGACUACACGUGGGUAAAUGGAGAAAUGUCUGCAUGACAAGUGACUCAGAAGACACCAUCAAAAGGAAAGCUCUAGGACAUCAGUCUGCACCCAGCCCUGGAUGAAUUCCAGUGUCCAACCAGAGGAGCAGAGCAGGACAGCCCAAAGCUGGCAGGAGCAGGUGUUUUUCUAAGUGUCCCAUGGCACAAGAGACACCUUCAGCUGGAAACAUCACGAGGUUCAAAAGGAGCACCACAUGCUAAAGUACUCCAACAUGAUGGACAAAGAUAAGUUUUAGAUCAUAUUCAUGUGGGAGCAUCUGCAGAUGUGUAAGGGUUGGGGUUUGGAUACAAAAAUGAACUAUCUGAGCUGCUGACGUAGAAAGAUAUUGUAAAUAAAAUCUGCUGAAUGGCUUUGAAACAGGAGAAUUUGAUGUUUGGGAGCUCAGUUGGUUGCUCAGUGCUGGGAGUGCCAUGGCAAGCAAAGGCCUCAGAUGGGCACCCGAGCAAGGGCUGGUCUGAUGUUACAGAGUGAAGAGGGGGUUCCCUUGCUUUCAUGAAGGGAGAACCCUUCAUUUCACCAGGGUGGGGAACUGAGAUGGAUGGUGGAAUUUCCAAAUGGUCCCCGGCCCAUCAGCGUGCUGGAAGUCACUCCCAGCUUGGACACAGCUGAAGCUCACAGGUGGGUGGCUGCUGCCAGCCCCGUGCCUGGCCUAGUGCAGAUCAUUGCUCCCAGAGGCACGAUUUAGUGAAAUAAAACCUGCCACUACCCGCUCUCAGGAUUCAGGUUUUUGAAAUAUGGGCUUGACAUGGAACCGAAAUUAAAACCCUAAUUCUUGAAAAAUGUUUUCUAUUAAAGAAUAUUCUGGGGAAAUGAUUUUGUGUAUGUAUUUAACACUUGAUUCAAUAUGUAUUUUAUUUUGAUGAAAAUGAAGUGUCUUUCGUUUAAACUGUUUCUUCUUCUGUUAUUUAAUGUGCCAGAGAAUACAUUUUCUAGAAUUAUCUAAUGGAAAAUAAUCUCAUGAAGGAAAACCAGAGAUAUUUUCCCCUACUCCUUGCUUCCCCCAAGAAAUUCUGGCUAAAUUGACCUAAUUUCAUGUCACUUUUUUAUUUCAGAGAAACAGCAAGGCCUGCUGUAUAAAGCCCUGUAAUCACCACUUGCUCACUUUACUGUAACCAAAAAAAAAAAAAAG